CGUAGUUUUUAUUAUAUACUAUUUAUGUUUAAGUUUCAACUUUGAACCUUACAUUUUUUUCUAGGGGACUGUAAACUACUUGGUAAAAUAGAAGGGGUAUAGCUCCUUUGAGAAUACUUGGGAGCCAGAGGAGUACAUUUCUCAAGCUUUCUUAAGGUAAGCUUCCAAUAAAUCCUACUACAAAGCAGGUGGCUUCUGUGAAUGUUUAGUAAUGACUAUAUAUUUGGGUUAAUUAAGAAGUUAUUAAGAUUCUCACGUGCAAUUUUUAGUUAGUGCAAGAACAAAUAUCUCUUUAUAUGUACCAAAUAUGGCGACUUUCACACCCUACCAUAGCUAGAGAUAUUGAUUAAACCAUUCAACUAGUUACUGUUAAUUAAAACAUAUAUUAGGAUACAUGUUUAUUCUUAUCUCAAUCCUAGGUAUUUUAGCAAGCCUUGUCCACCAUCAGAGGUCAUUGAGUAGUGCGUGGACAAGAUGAGAAUCGAGGUGAUGCUCGCACUCAAGCACAAAGCGCCUGAACAAAAGUUAACGUUGGAGUUCAGACAUGACGUGUAUGGCUUUUCGUUUAAUGGAUAAGGGAAGACAGCAGAGCAACGUGGCUGGAUGCUGUUUGAGGAGAGCGACUUUGAAAAAUGUAAAUUGCCUCCCACCUGGUUUUGUAUUCAUGAUCAACAUGGAGAUGAGACAAAAGUCAGAUUCCCGGUCAAGAUGAGAACAUUUCUAGGCAACUCACCUAGAAAUUUUACUAACAAAGGGGGUGAAAUUGUGGAACUGCCUCGCUCCUUUAUAGAAAAGAUGUCGAUAAAAUGUAUUAAAAUUGCAUCUUCUUGUUCAUAGUAUACCUGUACAUUUGCUUAAUACAUUCUUUGUAAGUGGCCAUGGUGAUCAUAUAAAUAUUUCUUUGGUUUUUGGGAACAUGACAUAUAGUUUAUUAUCGCAGAGCUUUCAAUUAUAUUUAUAACACUAAUCAUAACAUUUUCAUUCAUCAGAUGUUAUUAGCACUGAUGAAGAUCCAGGCUUACAGAUUUCAAUCUCUGCAAUAAUAAAUAUAGUGAUGUUUCCACAUACCAAAGAAAUAUUUAUACAUGUGCUUAUUUAAGAAAGCAAUGCUUUCAAUUUAAAGCUAUCUCACUUGUCCAGUCAGUCCAUGUUUGGAUUGUUUGGAUAAGUGGGAUAGCUUUUAUCAAGCACCUUUUUGGAACAAAAGCAUACUAAAUUUACACCAUCUUUGCACAGGUAUAUUGAGAUGUUGACUUAAAUUGUAUUCCUAUAAUGUAAAGGUUAUGUAUAUACAAAACUAAACUAGCUUAUUUACAGUAUCCAUAUCAGUCAUAUACCUCAAAUUGUUCUUUAUGUACAGAAAUUGUUUUCUGUUGUUUAUAGAUG
Molecule: non-coding RNA, 1386 nt
Organism: Paramuricea clavata
Lineage: Eukaryota; Metazoa; Cnidaria; Anthozoa; Malacalcyonacea; Plexauridae
Source: the annotation of a GenBank genome assembly